AUCAAUAUAAGUGUCCACGCUGGGCGCUGGGAACAAAUUGCCUCCCUGAGUCAGACCAGCCGCCCAUGGAUCCUAUGCUGCAGUCACACCAGACUCCUCAUGGUGUGGGAGGCCUGAAGUUCUUUUCCUGAGGAAGGAACUCAGAUAAAAACAAAUGUAAGUUUCAAGCUUUAAGACCAGAAGGGGCAAUAUCUAUGUUUAUCCAAAAAAAGUCUGUUUAUUGGGUAGGUCUCACCACUUUGUCUCCUGAAUGUCUUCCCCUGGAGACUCUGAUCUCCUUGAGGGCAGGGCAUGUGCCUUUCCUGUCUGGAAGGCACCUAGUAAAUGCCCAAUAAGCAUUGGUUGUUAUUGUGAAAGAGCAGUAACUGAUUCAUAGCUGCUUCCAUAGCACUUCCUGGAGUCCAGCACUCACUGCGGACCAGGCUCAAGUUUCUGGAUGGGUAGGAGGGCUGGCUGGGAACAAAAGAAAACAAAGGAAAGCUGAUUUGGUUCUUUGUUCUGUGUAGCCCUGUGCUAAGCUUCCCCCUCCCCCAGCAGCGUGCACAGAGCCUGGUUCCAG
Molecule: non-coding RNA, 559 nt
Filed under: Pongo abelii (Sumatran orangutan)
Lineage: Eukaryota; Metazoa; Chordata; Mammalia; Primates; Hominidae
Source: RNAcentral